This 210-nucleotide long non-coding RNA is filed under the name Lathyrus oleraceus (garden pea). RNAcentral describes it as "Pisum sativum (pea) long non-coding RNA (PSAT_LNC010013)". The record is from RNAcentral. Lineage: Eukaryota; Viridiplantae; Streptophyta; Magnoliopsida; Fabales; Fabaceae.
AUAUCCCCGCCUGAGUCCCUUAGCGGAUUUUCCCCAUCCGAGUCCGGAUUUUUUAUACGAAGUAUCCUUUGUGCAUAGUUUGCUGUAUUGGUAUAUUCCCCAAUACAUGCAUCUUUGCGUCAGCUCGAGUCUUUCCAUUGAUUUAUUUUUAUGGAAUCCCUCUCGUGUCUCCCAGCAAGUUCUAAGUCGUGACCUGCUCACGCAUUUUCC